Molecule: ribosomal RNA, 460 nt
Filed under: uncultured bacterium
Lineage: Bacteria
Description: partial 16S ribosomal RNA
Rfam family: Bacterial small subunit ribosomal RNA
Source: RNAcentral
CCUACGGGUGGCAGCAGUGAGGAAUAUUGGUCAAUGGCCGAGAGCCUGAACCAGCCAAGUCGCGUGAGGGAAGACGGCCCUACGGGUUGUAAACCUCUUUUGUCGGGGAGCAAAGCGAGUCACGUGUGACUCAUUGAGAGUACCCGAAGAAAAAGCAUCGGCUAACUCCGUGCCAGCAGCCGCGGUAAUACGGAGGUGGCAAGCGUUGUCCGGGUUUAAUGGGUGUAAAGGGCGUGGAGGCGGGCUGGCAAGUCAGAUGUGAAAUCGGGGGGCUCAACCCCCGACCUGCAUUUGAAACUGGUGGUCUUGAGUUUCGGAGAGGCAGGCGGAAUUCCUGGUGUAGCGGUGAAAUGCGUAGAUAUUAGGAAGAACACCGGUGGCGAAGGCAGCCUGCUGGCCGACAACUGACGGUGAGGCGCGAAAGCGUGGGGAGCGAACAGGAUUAGAUACCCUUGUAGUC